AGUGAACGCUGGCGGUAGGCCUAACACAUGCAAGUCGAACGGCAGCACAGUAAGAGCUUGCUCUUACGGGUGGCGAGUGGCGGACGGGUGAGGAAUACAUCGGAAUCUACUUUUUCGUGGGGGAUAACGUAGGGAAACUUACGCUAAUACCGCAUACGACCUACGGGUGAAAGCAGGGGAUCUUCGGACCUUGCGCGAUUGAAUGAGCCGAUGUCGGAUUAGCUAGUUGGCGGGGUAAAGGCCCACCAAGGCGACGAUCCGUAGCUGGUCUGAGAGGAUGAUCGGCCAAACUGGAACUGAGACACGGUCCAGCCUCCUACGGGAGGCAGCAGUGGGGAAUAUUGGAAAAUGGGCGCAAGCCUGAUCCAGCCAUACCGCGGGGGUGAAGAAGGCCUUCGGGUUGUAAAGCCCUUUUGUUGGGAAAGAAAAGCAGCAGGUUAAUACCCCGCUGUUCUGACGGUACCCAAAGAAUAAGCACCGGCUAACUUCGU
RNAcentral lists this ribosomal RNA (491 nucleotides) under uncultured bacterium. RNAcentral describes it as "partial 16S ribosomal RNA". It matches the Rfam family "Bacterial small subunit ribosomal RNA", at positions 29 to 506 of the family's 1533-position model. The record is from RNAcentral.